This 119-nucleotide ribosomal RNA is filed under the name Carassius auratus (goldfish). The record is from RNAcentral. Lineage: Eukaryota; Metazoa; Chordata; Actinopteri; Cypriniformes; Cyprinidae.
GCUUACGGCCAUACCAACCUGGCUAUGCCCGAUCUUGUCUGAUCUCGGAAGCUAAGCAGGUUUGGGCUUGGUUAGUACUUGGAUGGGAGACCACCUGGGAAUACCAGGUGCUGUAAGCU